UCUGGAAGAUACUUGAAUCACAGGACUGAAUAAGGAAGAGCUGCCCUCAGCGUGGCCGGGCAACAUCUAAUCGGCUGAAAGCUUGGAUCGAAUGAAAAGGCAGAGGAAAGGUGAAUUUUCUUUUUAUCCUGGAGCUGGACACCCUGUUUCUCCUGCCUGUGGACAUCAGAAUUCUAGGCUCUGUGGCAUUUCAACUGUAAAACUUGCACUAGUAGCCAGCUGGUUUCUCAAGUCGUUGGCUUCAAAACUGAGAAGUACAGCAUUCUCUUCCCAGGUUCUGAAGACCUCAAAUGGACUGAGCCACACUACCAGCAUCCAGCAUCCAUGGUUCUCCAGUCUGCAGAUGGCCUAUUAUGGGACUUUUCAGUCUUCAUAAUUAUAUGAGAGAAAGAAAAUGAAAAGGAUUUGUAAACUAUAAAUCUCUAAACAGAUGGGAGGAAAGGAAUUGAUGAAACAAUAAAUUUAUUGAUGAAACAAUAAAAAUAAACAUAAAGAACCAAAGCGUUUUGUAGAGAAGAGGACUCACUUUGUUGCCCAAGCAGGUCUUGAACUCCUAGCCUCAAGUGUCACUCCUGCCUUGGCCUCUGAAAAUGCUGGGAUUACAGGUGUGAAGCACUACACCCAGCUGAGACUUUCUUUUUCUACCCUGAAAUCAUACAAAAAUGUUUGGAUUUAUUUUGUCCAGGAG
This 688-nucleotide long non-coding RNA is filed under the name Homo sapiens (human). RNAcentral describes it as "HSALNT0312117". Lineage: Eukaryota; Metazoa; Chordata; Mammalia; Primates; Hominidae. The record is from RNAcentral.